This 2899-nucleotide ribosomal RNA is filed under the name Candidatus Woesebacteria bacterium GW2011_GWB1_39_10b. Its description in RNAcentral is "23S ribosomal RNA". It matches the Rfam family "Bacterial large subunit ribosomal RNA". The record is from RNAcentral. Lineage: Bacteria; Candidatus Woeseibacteriota.
UAACGCAGACAGUGAAUGCCUUGGUGCAAGUUGCCGAAGAAGGACGCACAUGGUAGCGAUAUUCGUCGGGGAGGAGCCACGAUCCUUUGAUCCGGCGGUGUCCGAAUGGGGAAACCCUACCAACUUCAUAGUUGGUAACUCCACAGCCAAAGUUCCGAUUUAAUCGGAACAUAACUGUGGUAGAGGGAACCGUCCAAACUGAAACAUCUAAGUAGGGCGAGGAAGAGAAAUCAAUCGAUAUUCCGUCAGUAGCGGAGAGCGAAAGCGGAAAAGCCCAAACCAGCGUGCGAGGGGGUUGUAGGAGCCCAACGUGGGAGUUGACUUAAUAGCAGAACCAUCUGGAAUGAUAGACCACAGAGAGUGAAAGUCUCGUAUGCAAAAUUAAGUUGACCUCUAGGGAAUUCCUGAGUAUCCCGAUGUAAACUCUUCGGGAGAAGCUGGGGGAACCAUCCUCCAAGGCUAAAUACGACUUGCAACCGAUAGUGAACUAGUACCGUGAGGGAAAGGCGAAAAGAAGGGCGGGACGCCCAGUGAAAUAGAACCUGAAACUGUUUGCGGACAAACCGUAAGAGCUCGACCAAUAACUAAUAACUAAUCGAACGAACGCGGAGCGUGAGUGAUUGCGUGCCUAUUGAAGAAUGAGCCGGCGAGUUGUCGUUUGGUGCAGCUUAACCUGCGGGGGGAGGCAUAGGGAAACCAAGUUUUAAUAGAGCGUUUAGUACCAAGCGGCAGACCCGAAACCGGGUGAUCUAUCCAUGAGCAGGGUGAACCCCGCAGAAGUGCGGGAGGAGGCCCGAACCGGUUGAUGUUGCAAUAUCAUCGGAUGACUUGUGGAUAGCGGUAAAAUGCCAAACGAACCCGGAGAUAGCUGGUUCUCCCCGAAAGGUCUAUAGGGACCGUGGUACGUCAGGUGUUAUCGGUGGUAGAGCUACUGAAUGGGAUAGCGAGGGUAACCGAGUUAUUUCAACCAAACUCCGAAUAACGAUGUACACUAACGUGCUAAACAGUCGCAUCGGGCUAAGCUGAUGCGGCGAAAGGGAAACAUCCCAGACUCUCAGCUAAGGCCUCUAAAUUGCAGCUAAGUUUUAAAGGAAGUUCGCGUCCUUAGACACCCAGGAGGUUGGCUUAGAAGCAGCCACCCUUUAAAGAUAGCGUAACAGCUCACUGGUUGAGGUUGUGGGCGCCGAAAAUUUAUCGAGGAUAAGCUGUAUGCCGAAGCUGGAGAUUUCGUGCGAUAUGGUAGGGGAGCGUUCCAUAUACGGUGAAGUCGUUUUGUAAAAAACGGUGGAGUGUAUGGAAGUGAGAAUGCCGGUAUGAGUAGCGUACUACUCCGGUGAGAAUCCGGAGCACCGAAUGCCCGAGGAUUCCGCCCAGACGUUCGUCGAGGGCGGGUUAAUCGGUACCUAAGGGAAGGCCGAAAGGCGUACCCGAUGGAUAACUGGUCAAAAUUCCAGUAUUUAUUUUAACGAUUUGGGGUGUAAGUUAUAAGAUAGUGUCAGCAGGAAAAUCCGCUAAUACGUUUAAUCGAAUAACGAUGCAGAGUCUUGUGCAAACAGGACAAUUUCAUCCCAUUCAAUCUACAAGAAAAGGCUCGCAGUGAGAUUCAAAGUAAGCCGUACCGCAAACCGACACAGGUGGGCUGGUCGAGAAGACUAAGGUGAGCGAGAGAAAGAGGUUCAAGGAACUCGGCAAAAAAUCUGGACGUAAGUUCGCAAGAUGUCCUGUCGCCGCAAGGCGACUACAACAAAAGAGUGCUAACCGACUGUUUAUCAAAAACACAGGUCCGUGCAAAAGCGUAAGCUGAAGUAUACGGGCUGACGCCUGCCCAGUGCCGGUAAGUUAAGAGGAUGGGUGGUCCGAUGUUACAUCGGACUGCUCUGAAUUCAAGCUCCGGUAAACGGCGGCUUUAACUAUAAGAGUCCUACGGUGGAAAAUUCGCCGCCGUAGUAAAAUCUGAGCGAAGUUCCUUGUCGUGUAAGUUACGACCUGCACGAAAGGCGUCACGAGUUAGCAACUGUCUCGAGCCUCUACUCGGCGAAAUUGCGUUGGCUGUGAAGACGCGGCCUACUUCCACCAGGACAAAAAGAGUUAUUGGUUCAUGGUUCGUAGUUAAGAAAAAUUACUAUGAACUACGAACUAACUAACCAACUAACUAUUUGCGCGCAGCGCAUGCUCAAUCGUGUAAUACCUCCCUUUGGAACGUGGCAAGACUUACCUAAGUCGCCUGAACACGGCGACAGGGAAAGUGCUAGGUGGGCAGUUUUACUGGGGCGGUACCUUGCCAAAAGGUAACGCAAGGGUACAAAGGUCGGCUUAGUACGGAUGGACAUCGUACUGAAUGUAUAAAGGCAUAAGCCGGCUUGACUGCGACAGUGACGGCUGGAGCAGGAACGAAAGUUGGUCUUAGUGAUCCCCCAAACCAGUGUGGAAUGGUUGGGGCUUAACGGAUAAAAGCUACCCCGGGGAUAACAGAGUAGUCGCACCCGAGAGUCCAUAUCGACGGUGCGGUUCGCUACCUCAACAUUGAUGUCGGCUCACCGCAUCCUGGGGGGGGAGCACCUCCCAAGGGUUGGUCUGUUCGCCCAUUAAAGCGGUACGUGAGCUGGGUUCAGAACGUCGUAAGACAGUUCGGACUCUAUCCGGUGGAAGCGUUCGAGUCUUGAAGGGAGCUCUCCUCAGUACGAGAGGACCAGGAGGGAGGAAUCCCUGGUGUGCCGGUUGUGGCAUCAGCCGCAACGCCGGGUAGCUACAUUCCUAAGGGAUAACCGCUGAAAGCAUCUAAGUGGGAAGCCCACCCUAAGAUUAGGACUCGUUAUUAGAUCCCAGAAAGAAUAUCUGGUUGAUAGACUGGAAGUGGAAGGGCAGCAAUGCCUUAAGCUUACCAGUACUAAUCGAUCGA